ACUACGGGGGGCUGCAGUGGGGAAUAUUGCACAAUGGGGGAAACCCUGAUGCAGCGACGCCGCGUGAGUGAAGAAGUAUUUCGGUAUGUAAAGCUCUAUCAGCAGGGAAGAAAAUGACGGUACCUGACUAAGAAGCCCCGGCUAACUACGUGCCAGCAGCCGCGGUAAUACGUAGGGGGCAAGCGUUAUCCGGAUUUACUGGGUGUAAAGGGAGCGUAGACGGCCAGACAAGUCAGAAGUGAAAGCCCAGGGCUCCACCCUGGGACUGCUUUUGAAACUGCCGGGCUUGAGUGCAGGAGAGGUAAGCGGAAUUCCGAGUGUAGCGGUGAAAUGCGUAGAUAUUAGGAGGAACACCAGUGGCGAAGGCGGCUUACUGGACUGUAACUGACGUUGAGGCUCGAAAGCGUGGGGAGCAAACAGGAUUAGAUACCCCUGUAGUC
This 440-nucleotide ribosomal RNA is filed under the name uncultured bacterium. RNAcentral describes it as "partial 16S ribosomal RNA". It matches the Rfam family "Bacterial small subunit ribosomal RNA", at positions 338 to 795 of the family's 1533-position model. The record is from RNAcentral.